CAACGCGGGGAGGUAGUGACAAGAAAUAACAACAACUAACCUAUUUCAGGUGAGUUGAUUGGAAUGAGUACAAUCUAAACACCUUAACGACUAUCCAUUGGAGGGCAAGCCUGGUGCCAGCAGCCGCGGUAAUUCCAGCUCCAAUAGCGUAUACUAAUGUUGUUGCAGUUAAAAAGCUCGUAGUCGGAUUUCAGUAGGCUCAGUUAAGUCUCUUCUAUUGAGUUCUUUAUGGGCCUGCUUCUUUGACAGAAACUUCUAUGUUAUUCAUUUAGCGUGGGUAGCGACUGUCUCUUUUACUUUGAGAAAAUUAGAGUGUUCAAAGCAGGUAUUCGCCUGAAUAUUACUCUUGGAAUAAUGCUAUAAGACUUUGGUUCUAAUGUAUUGGUGAUUGGGACCAGAGUAAUGAUUGAUAGGGACGGUUGGGGUCUUACGUACUGCAAAGCGAGAGGUGAAAUUCUUGGACCUUUGUAUGACGAACAACUGCGAAAGCAUUGGACUAGGACGUUCCCGUUGAACAAGAACGAAAGUUGGGGGAUCGAAGACGAUCAGAUACCGUCGUAGUCUCAAUCAUAAACUAUGCCAGCUAGGGAUCGGAGGACGUUACAUGUUCGACUCCUUCGGCACCUUAUGAGAAAUCAAAGCAUUUGGGUUCCGGGGGGAGUAUAGUCGCAAGGCUGAAACUUAAAGGAAUUGACGGGAGGGCACCACCAGGAGUGGAGCCUGCGGCUUAAUUUGACUCAACAC
RNAcentral lists this ribosomal RNA (744 nucleotides) under uncultured marine eukaryote. RNAcentral's name for it is "SSU rRNA". It matches the Rfam family "Eukaryotic small subunit ribosomal RNA", at positions 452 to 1206 of the family's 1831-position model. The record is from RNAcentral.